GUGAGGAAUUUUCCGCAAUGGGCGAAAGCCUGACGGAGCAAUGCCGCGUGAAGGAUGAAGGCCUAUGGGUUGUAAACUUCUUUUCUCAGAAAAGAAUUAUGACGGUAUCUGAGGAAUAAGCAUCGGCUAACUCUGUGCCAGCAGCCGCGGUAAGACAGAGGAUGCAAGCGUUAUCCGGAAUGAUUGGGCAUAAAGCGUCUGUAGGUUGUUUAAAAAGUAUUCUGUCAAAGAUUAGGGCUUAACCCUAGAUAGGCAGAAUAAACUUUUAAGCUAGAGUUUGGUAGAGGCAGAGGGAAUUCCCGGUGGAGCGGUGAAAUGCGUAGAUAUCGGGAGGAACACCAAAGGCGAAGGCACUCUGCUGGGCCAAUACUAACACUGAGAGACGAAAGCGAGGGGAGCAAAUGGGAUUAGAUACCCGAGUAGUCC
This 426-nucleotide ribosomal RNA is filed under the name uncultured bacterium. RNAcentral describes it as "partial 16S ribosomal RNA". It matches the Rfam family "Bacterial small subunit ribosomal RNA", at positions 354 to 796 of the family's 1533-position model. The record is from RNAcentral.